Molecule: transfer RNA, 82 nt
Organism: Piromyces finnis
Lineage: Eukaryota; Fungi; Neocallimastigomycota; Neocallimastigomycetes; Neocallimastigales; Neocallimastigaceae
Rfam family: tRNA
About the family: Transfer RNA (tRNA) molecules are approximately 80 nucleotides in length. Their secondary structure includes four short double-helical elements and three loops (D, anti-codon, and T loops).
Source: Rfam
GUCAGUUUGUCCGAGUGGUUAAGGAGUCAGACUUGAAAUCUGAUGGGCUCUGCCCGCGCAGGUUCAAACCCUGCAGCUGACG